Neofelis nebulosa (Clouded leopard) is the source of this 1465-nucleotide long non-coding RNA. RefSeq lists it as uncharacterized. The transcript is spliced from 3 exons. The record is from RefSeq and is a predicted model, not a curated record. NCBI's taxonomy places the organism in Eukaryota, Metazoa, Chordata, Mammalia, Carnivora, Felidae.
AGAGCCGGCGCGACGCUACCGCGUCCUCCUUCCUCGGCGGUGGCCUCGGAGGCCCCGAGGUGUGGCUGGAGCGGCCGGAGGACCGCCCCGGAGCCUAGGCCGUCGGCGUGUGGACGCCUUACGGCCAGGGCUUGGUUUGUACCGCAGCCUGGCUCACCCUGACGGACAUGAGGACGUGGAAGGGAAUGACUCCCGAGCCCCUGGCACAGCAGCCUGCGGGCCCCGCCUCUGCUGCCGCGGGCAGGGCCGCGCUGGCCUGGCGCCGAAACUCGGAUGUCCCCUCUGCAAACUGGGAUACGGAGUCUCACUGACAGGGCGGACGUGCCGGAAGAGUGGAUUUGCACGUCCAGCUGGGGCCUGGGCCCCAGGAGGGGCACGGACCGGUGUCAGUUCUCCGCUCCCUCCGGAGCUUCGCGGCCUCGCAGGGAGACCAGCCCCUCCAAGAGCUCAGUGACAUCAGCUUGCCAUCCGGGCGUACGUUUGGUCAAAGGUGCAGACGCCUGUGCCUGGGCGUGAACCCAGCACUUCUCAGAAGUGUGAACUCUCCGCUCGCCUCCCCCGCGGCUGCGCGCGCAGGACCGAAGGCGGUGGAGCCAUCCGGAGUCCGCCCUGCCCUUGGCGUCCGCUUUCUUAAGAGGAGCAGGGGCGGUAUGUGAAAUUCAGGCUUGUCUGAAUGAGGAACCCGGGUACUGACCGUCACACGAUGCCGCCAUCUGGGCCCCCAGCCCUCCACGUUGUGUCUAGCAAGCUGGCACCCUAUCGGUGUGUGUUGUUGAAAUGUUACGAAGUGACUGCCAUGUGCCAGAGCCUGGGCCAGGCCCGCUCACCUCUGCUCCCACGGGUUCUGAAGCCCUGUCUGAUGAGGGAGAUCACCCGGCAGAGAAAUAAACGCCCUCUCCUCAGGCCACCCAGCCGCUGGGUGCCUUUCACGUGGUGUGAGACGUCAGAAGGAACCCUCGAUGGGCGCUGUGGCGGUGGCUGAGGCCAGUCGAGUGGCGCUGGGAGCCAAUGUCCUUGUCACCUUCUAACAACUCGUGGGGAGCUUCCGCCGGAUUACGUGGGAUGUUCAAGGGCCAUGUACGUCAGUGGUGGCUGUCACCACCAGAGGCCGGGCAGGGCACGGGUGCAGCUAGGGAACCUGUGCCACUGUGUGUGACCACUGCCCAGCCCGGCAGGUCCUCUCUAGUCACCGGGAACGUUGAAGUUAAAGACUUUGAUGGGGAGCGGCAGCGGGGAGCAGCCCAGCGCAUCGCGGAGGAGACGGUGUUUCCUAACACUUCCGGAGGACAGAGUGCCAACUGGCGUGGCCAUCUUCGCUUCGGGGGUCUCCUGCAGCCUCUGCCCAGGAGUCUGGGGGCUCACGUGCAUUUGCCCCUUACUCGGGAACCGUAACCCUCAGAGAUCAGAAGGAGCAUGGGAGCGAGACGAUUCAAUAAACUCACAAUAAAACAUCCAAAGCCUUUCA